GAACCAGCAUGGCAUAAUGGUUUGAGCAUUGAAUUAUGACUCUGGAGACCAGGGUUCAAUUCCCUGCUUAUUCA
This 74-nucleotide transfer RNA is filed under the name Phrynosoma platyrhinos (Desert horned lizard). RNAcentral's name for it is "tRNA-OTHER". The record is from RNAcentral. Lineage: Eukaryota; Metazoa; Chordata; Lepidosauria; Squamata; Phrynosomatidae.